UCCGGCUUAUCGCCGGCAGUCCCACUAGAGUGCCCAACUGAAUGAUGGCAACUAAUGGCAAGGGUUGCGCUCGUUGCGGGACUUAACCCAACAUCUCACGACACGAGCUGACGACAGCCAUGCAGCAUCUGUGGUGCACCCUCGAAGGUCACACGUUUCCGUGCGCUUGCAGCACCAUGUCAAGCCCAGGUAAGGUUCUUCGCAUAGCAUCGAAUUAAAGAACAUGCUCCGCUGCUUGUGCGGGUCCCCGUCAAUUCCUUUGAGUUUUAACCUUGCGGCCGUACUCCCCAGGCGGUCGACUUCACGCGUUAGCUUCGUUACUGAGAGUGUCAAACCCCCAACAACCAGUCGACAUCGUUUAGGGCGUGGACUAC
Molecule: unclassified non-coding RNA, 374 nt
Filed under: uncultured bacterium
Lineage: Bacteria
Description: contains 16S-23S intergenic spacer region
Source: RNAcentral